This is a non-coding RNA of Amylocarpus encephaloides, 84 nucleotides long. The record is from the annotation of a GenBank genome assembly. Lineage: Eukaryota; Fungi; Ascomycota; Leotiomycetes; Helotiales.
GGUUGUAUAGUGUAGCGGUUAGCACGUGAGAUUCUGAUACUCAAGCUCCUUCUCGAGUCCCCGGUUCGAACCCGGGUACGACCU